CGGUAAGGCUCCAGCUUGCUGGGGUACACGAGUGGCGACACGGGGUGAGUAACACGUGGGUGACCUGCCCUGCACUUCGGGAUAAGCCUGGGAAACUGGGUCUAAUACCGGAUAGGACCGCACCGUGAGGGUGUGGUGGAAAGUUUUUCGGUGUGGGAUGGGCCCGCGGCCUAUCAGCUUGUUGGUGGGGUAAUGGCCUACCAAGGCGGCGACGGGUAGCCGGCCUGAGAGGGUGGACGGCCACAUUGGGACUGAGACACGGCCCAGACUCCUACGGGAGGCAGCAGUGGGGAAUAUUGCACAAUGGGCGGAAGCCUGAUGCAGCGACGCCGCGUGGGGGAUGACGGCCUUCGGGUUGUAAACUCCUUUCACCAUCGACGAAGGGUUCCUGACGGUAGAUGGAGAAGAAGCACCGGCUAACUACGUGCCAGCAGCCGCGGUAAUACGUAGGGUGCGAGCGUUGUCCGGAAUUACUGGGCGUAAAGAGCUCGUAGGUGGUUUGUCGCGUCGUCUGUGAAAUUCCGGGGCUUAACUCCGGGCGUGCAGGCGAUACGGGCAUAACUUGAGUACUGUAGGGGAGACUGGAAUUCCUGGUGUAGCUGGUGAAAUGCGCUAGAUAUCUAGGAGGAACUACCUGGUGGCGAAGGCGGGUCUUCUGGGCUAGUAACUGACGCUUGAGGAGCGAAAGCAUGGGGAGCGAACUAGGAUUAGAUACCCUGGUAGUCCUAUGCCGUAAACUGGUGGGCGCUAGGUGUGGGUUUCCUUCCACGGGAUCCGCGCCGUAGUAACGGUCAUAAGCGCCCCGCCUGGGGAGUACGCCGCAAG
RNAcentral lists this ribosomal RNA (825 nucleotides) under uncultured Actinomycetes bacterium. RNAcentral's name for it is "bacterial SSU rRNA". It matches the Rfam family "Bacterial small subunit ribosomal RNA", at positions 67 to 892 of the family's 1533-position model. The record is from RNAcentral. Lineage: Bacteria; Bacillati; Actinomycetota; Actinomycetes.